UAGGUUGUUGAAGGAGGUUAUCACUAGGCUUUAAAGAGAUUUUAGAAUAAUAUUAAAGCGGAUCUUAGAAAACAUUAAUGUGAACAUGCGAACUGAAUUCAGCUGUAUCGUGAUAGGGACAAAAUGAAAAUGGCUACGAACCUUCAGGUUUAAUAAACUCAGAAGUAUGAACUUCUCUUGAAAGACCCAGCACCAUCCAAUUAGUUAAGUGUCACUACUAAAUGAAGUUCAGAAGUAAGUUCGAACUACAGCUGCAAAUUUUAAAUUUUGUGUAUUGUUAGGUCCAAAUACAAGUCACAAGCUUCCGUAAGAGUAUGGCUGACAUUAUCAAUUAACAAGAAAAGUGCCGAUUACUGUGGUCGAUCGGUCGAUCUGGGUCAUUCAAACGCUGGAACCGUGGAUUCGAAUCCCACUCACAUAUGUGUCCGCUUUUUUAUGUUUCGUUAUUCCGUGUAGGUAGAGGGAGGCCUUGCGACGGGAGUCCUGCCAACUGUCGAAAAAGAUUUAAAAAAAGCCGGCACAAACAUUCUCCACAAAGGCCAAGGCUGAAAGUGGGCUGUAGCGCCCUUGCAAUAGAAGUGACAGGAAAAAGGAUUUGUUUGAAUACACCACACAGCACAGCCGACGCUUGUGACACUGCGUUUGCGGACUGAAGUAUACACGGCACAGUGACACAAUAAGGUCUGCAAGAAGUCCUCCUGUUUGUCCGACUGACCGGCCGAACGCCCAUCGACGAACUGCAUUGCAGACUUCACCAGUAACACCAAAGAGCGUGUGGCUUCCUGAACCACGUGACCUGCGUCAUGAUUCUCUUGAAGUGGACUAUUGCCCACAGCAUCUCAGCUGAUACAGCACCUACUGACAUCCUCUUCAACCUCAAGCGUGAUGAACGAAUCAGACAGAUUACAAAAGGAUCAGAGCAGUGCCGAGCUACCUCGCCUCCUCCAGCGAAACCUUCUCAACACCGGAUUUGAUGUAUCCACGGCUUCCCAUCUGUAUCCAGUUUUGUCAACACCGGUUGCGUUGUAAAUGUUUUUACACACGAAAAAAUCGAUUAAUUCCACCCCGAGAGACAUACAUUUGCUGGCGGCAGAUCUGUUACAUCAGAAACCAGUUCUCUAGCUCCCAGACUGCCAUUGCUCUAGACCUUCUGUUGUUAUUUUAUAUAUUAUAUUUGUAUUGUUUUCUAUUAAGUGUUUUUCACAUAGCGCUUAGGU
Zootermopsis nevadensis is the source of this 1217-nucleotide long non-coding RNA. RefSeq lists it as uncharacterized. Lineage: Eukaryota; Metazoa; Arthropoda; Insecta; Blattodea; Termopsidae. The record is from RefSeq and is a predicted model, not a curated record.